This 240-nucleotide ribosomal RNA is filed under the name uncultured bacterium. RNAcentral's name for it is "partial 16S ribosomal RNA". It matches the Rfam family "Bacterial small subunit ribosomal RNA", at positions 15 to 244 of the family's 1533-position model. The record is from RNAcentral.
GAUCUGGCUCAGGAUGAACGCUAGCGACAGGCCUAACACAUGCAAGUCGAGGGGCAGCGGAGAGGUAGCAAUACCUUUGCCGGCGACCGGCGCACGGGUGAGUAACACGUAUGCAAUCCACCUGUAACAGGGGGAUAACCCGGAGAAAUCCGGACUAAUACCCCAUAAUAUGGGCGCUCCGCAUGGAGAGCCCAUUAAAGAGAGCAAAUUUUGGUUACAGACGAGCAUGCGCUCCAUUAG